CUUGACGGAGCCCAGCAGGAGGGGGCUGUCGGCGUCGCGGCCCUGACCGUAGGUCGCCAGCAGCGCCUGCGCCUC
Non-coding RNA from Streptomyces rimosus subsp. rimosus ATCC 10970, 75 nucleotides. The record is from Rfam. Lineage: Bacteria; Bacillati; Actinomycetota; Actinomycetes; Kitasatosporales; Streptomycetaceae.